Molecule: ribosomal RNA, 434 nt
Filed under: uncultured Oscillospiraceae bacterium
Lineage: Bacteria; Bacillati; Bacillota; Clostridia; Eubacteriales; Oscillospiraceae
Description: partial 16S ribosomal RNA
Rfam family: Bacterial small subunit ribosomal RNA
Source: RNAcentral
ACGGGAGGCAGCAGUGGGGAAUAUUGGGCAAUGGGGGAAACCCUGACCCAGCAACGCCGCGUGAAGGAAGAAGGCCUUCGGGUUGUAAACUUCUUUUACCAGGGACGAUAAUGACGGUACCUGGAGAAAAAGCAACGGCUAACUACGUGCCAGCAGCCGCGGUAAUACGUAGGUUGCAAGCGUUGUCCGGAUUUACUGGGUGUAAAGGGCGUGUAGGCGGAGCUGCAAGUCAGAUGUGAAAUCCCGGGGCGCAACCCCGGAACUGCAUUUGAAACUGUAGCCCUUGAGUAUCGGAGAGGCAAGCGGAAUUCCUAGUGUAGCGGUGAAAUGCGUAGAUAUUAGGAGGAACACCAGUGGCGAAGGCGGCUUGCUGGACGACAACUGACGCUGAGGCGCGAAAGCGUGGGAAGCAAACAGGAUUAGAUACCCUGGUA